RNAcentral lists this ribosomal RNA (482 nucleotides) under uncultured bacterium. RNAcentral describes it as "partial 16S ribosomal RNA". It matches the Rfam family "Bacterial small subunit ribosomal RNA", at positions 28 to 507 of the family's 1533-position model. The record is from RNAcentral.
GAUGAACGCUGGCGGCGUGCCUAACACAUGCAAGUCGAACGGAAAGGCCCUUCGGGGUACUCGAGUGGCGAACGGGUGAGUAGCACGUGGGUGAUCUGCUCUGCACUUUGGGAUAAGCCUGGGAAACUGGGUCUAAUACUGAAUAGGACCACGCGAUUCAUGGUGUGUGGUGGAAAGCUUUCUCGGUGUGGGAUGGGCCCUCGGCGUAUCAGAUCGUUGGUGGGGUGAUGGCCUACCAAGGCGCCGACGGGUAGCCGGCCUGAGAGGGUGAUCGGCGACAUGGGAAGGUAGACACGGUCACGACUACUACGGGAGGGCGCAGUCGCGAACAGGAGACAACGGGCGGAAGUAUGACCCAGUGAGGGCGCGCGUGAGACGACGGCGCCGCGUGAGUAAAGACGGCCUUCGGGGGAUGAACCGCUGUCAAUAAAGACGAAGCGGAAGUGACGGUACCUAUAGAAGAAGCACCGGCCAACUACGUG